AGUGAACGCUGGCGGUAGGCCUAACACAUGCAAGUCGAACGGCAGCACAGUAAGAGCUUGCUCUUACGGGUGGCGAGUGGCGGACGGGUGAGGAAUACAUCGGAAUCUACUUUUUCGUGGGGGAUAACGUAGGGAAACUUACGCUAAUACCGCAUACGACCUACGGGUGAAAGCAGGGGAUCUUCGGACCUUGCGCGAUUGAAUGAGCCGAUGUCGGAUUAGCUAGUUGGCGGGGUAAAGGCCCACCAAGGCGACGAUCCGUAGCUGGUCGGAGAGGAUGAUCAGCCACACUGGAACUGAGACACGGUCCAGACUCCUACGGGAGGCAGCAGUGGGGAAUAUUGGACAAUGGGCGCAAGCCUAAUCCAGCCAUACCGCGUGGGUGAAGAAGGCCUUCGGGUUGUAAAGCCCUUUUGUUGGGAGAGAAAAGCAGCAGGUUAAUACCCCGCUGUUCUGACGGUACCCAAAGAAUAAGCACCGGCUAACUUCGUG
This 492-nucleotide ribosomal RNA is filed under the name uncultured bacterium. RNAcentral's name for it is "partial 16S ribosomal RNA". It matches the Rfam family "Bacterial small subunit ribosomal RNA", at positions 29 to 507 of the family's 1533-position model. The record is from RNAcentral.